AAACUGGAGAGUUUGAUUCUGGCUCAGAAUGAACGCUGGCGGCGUGCUUAACACAUGCAAGUCGAACGAGAAAGACCCUGCUUGCAGGGACGAGUAAAGUGGCGCACGGGUGAGUAACGCGUGGGUAAUCUGCCCUUAAGACCGGGAUAACAUGGCGAAAGCCGUGCUAAUACCGGAUGAAAUCCAUGUUGCU
This 193-nucleotide ribosomal RNA is filed under the name Desulfamplus sp. RNAcentral describes it as "partial 16S ribosomal RNA". It matches the Rfam family "Bacterial small subunit ribosomal RNA", at positions 1 to 189 of the family's 1533-position model. Lineage: Bacteria; Pseudomonadati; Thermodesulfobacteriota; Desulfobacteria; Desulfobacterales; Desulfobacteraceae. The record is from RNAcentral.